This 465-nucleotide ribosomal RNA is filed under the name uncultured Klebsiella sp. Its description in RNAcentral is "bacterial SSU rRNA". It matches the Rfam family "Bacterial small subunit ribosomal RNA", at positions 338 to 795 of the family's 1533-position model. Lineage: Bacteria; Pseudomonadati; Pseudomonadota; Gammaproteobacteria; Enterobacterales; Enterobacteriaceae. The record is from RNAcentral.
CCUACGGGUGGCAGCAGUGGGGAAUAUUGCACAAUGGGCGCAAGCCUGAUGCAGCCAUGCCGCGUGUGUGAAGAAGGCCUUCGGGUUGUAAAGCACUUUCAGCGGGGAGGAAGGCGGUGAGGUUAAUAACCUCAUCGAUUGACGUUACCCGCAGAAGAAGCACCGGCUAACUCCGUGCCAGCAGCCGCGGUAAUACGGAGGGUGCAAGCGUUAAUCGGAAUUACUGGGCGUAAAGCGCACGCAGGCGGUCUGUCAAGUCGGAUGUGAAGUCCCCGGGCUCAACCUGGGAACUGCAUUCGAAACUGGCAGGCUAGAGUCUUGUAGAGGGGGGUAGAAUUCCAGGUGUAGCGGUGAAAUGCGUAGAGAUCUGGAGGAAUACCGGUGGCGAAGGCGGCCCCCUGGACAAAGACUGACGCUCAGGUGCGAAAGCGUGGGGAGCAAACAGGAUUAGAUACCCGAGUAGUC